UUGCACGCUGGCGGCAGGCUUAACACAUGCAAGUCGAACGGUAGCAGGAGAAAGCUUGCUUUCUUGCUGACGCGUGGCGGACGGGUGAGUAAUGCUUGGGAAUCUGGCUUAUGGAGGGGGAUAACUACGGGAAACUGUAGCUAAUACCGCGUAGAAUCGGAAGAUGAAAGUGCGGGACCGCAAGGCCGCAUACCAUGAGAUGAGCCCAAGUGGGAUUAGGUAGUUGGUGGGGUAAGGGCCUACCAAGCCUGCGAUCUCUAGCUGGUCUGAGAGGAUGGCCAGCCAUACUGGAACUGAGACACGGUCCAGACUCCUACGGGAGGCAGCAGUGGGGAAUAUUGCGCAAUGGGGGGAACCCUGACGCAGCCAUGCCGCGUGAAUGAAGAAGGCCUUCGGGUUGUAAAGUUCUUUCGGUAUUGAGGAAGGUUGAUGUGUUAAUAGUACAUCAAAUUGACGUUAAAUACAGAAGAAGCACCGGCUAACUCCGUG
This 489-nucleotide ribosomal RNA is filed under the name uncultured bacterium. RNAcentral describes it as "partial 16S ribosomal RNA". It matches the Rfam family "Bacterial small subunit ribosomal RNA", at positions 30 to 507 of the family's 1533-position model. The record is from RNAcentral.